UGAUCACCGUGGAACGGGAAAGUAAAGGGAGCAGGAUCUGUGCAGAGAGUCCGGGAAAGGUGUAAUCCGGGCCAGGACCGUCCUUUGAAAAUCACCCGGGAGGUGCCUUUGCCCAAACCGGAAGGGGAGUAGGCAGGGCCGGCCGCACCGCCGUUACGGGUGUUUCGAGUGUCAGGAGAUUUCCUGUUCAUGAGGGUGGUACCGCGGGUAAUUAACUCGUCCCUUUU
Molecule: non-coding RNA, 227 nt
Filed under: Desulforamulus ruminis
Lineage: Bacteria; Bacillati; Bacillota; Clostridia; Eubacteriales; Peptococcaceae
Description: Desulfotomaculum ruminis T-box sequence
Rfam family: T-box leader
About the family: Uncharged tRNA acts as the effector for transcription antitermination of genes in the T-box leader family. T-boxes are found upstream of many aminoacyl-tRNA synthetase genes and some amino acid biosynthetic genes usually in Gram-positive bacteria. The anticodon of a specific tRNA base pairs to a specifier sequence within the T-box motif, and the NCCA acceptor tail of the tRNA base pairs to a conserved bulge in the T-box antiterminator hairpin.
Source: RNAcentral